GGUCUAUCAAGGAUGGUGGAAGAUAUCAUUGCCUCCAACAUCACGUCCAUCUACAUUUAUAGAAUUUAAUCAAGAAUCCUUCAACAUUGUGAUUUUUUGUAAGCAUAUUUCCAUCAUUCCAAAAACCAUAGAUGUGGCGUCUGGUGUCUUUGCUUGGAUGAAAAUAGGAAUUGUGAACCAUAGACGUGGCAUGUGGUGUCUUUGUUGACUUG
Molecule: long non-coding RNA, 212 nt
Filed under: Elaeis guineensis (African oil palm)
Lineage: Eukaryota; Viridiplantae; Streptophyta; Magnoliopsida; Arecales; Arecaceae
Description: long non-coding RNA (EGUI_LNC069207)
Source: RNAcentral